UGUGUCAGCCGCCGCGGUAAUACGUAGGGGGCGAGCGUUGUCCGGAAUUACUGGGCGUAAAGGGUGCGUAGGCGGCCCUUUAAGUCAGAUGUGAAAGCCCGCAGCUUAACUGCGGAAUUGCAUUUGAAACUGGAGGGCUUGAGUGUCGGAGAGGGUAGUGGAAUUCCCAGUGUAGCGGUGAAAUGCGUAGAUAUUGGGAGGAACACCAGUGGCGAAGGCGACUGCCUGGACGAUAACUGACGCUGAGGCACGAAAGCUAGGGGAGCAAACAGGAUUAGAUACCCUGGUAGUCCUAGCCGUAAACGAUGGGUACUAGGUGUAGGUGGUUUCGAUACCAUCUGUGCCGUAGUUAACGCAUUAAGUACCCCGCCUGGGGAGUACGUGCGCAAGCAUGAAACUCAAAGGAAUUGACGGGGGCCCGCACAAGCGGUGGAGCAUGUGGUUUAAUUCGAAGCAACGCGAAGAACCUUACCAGGUCUUGACAUCCCUGGACAGCUGUGGAAACACAGUUUCCCUUCGGGGCCAGGAGACAGGUGGUGCAUGGUUGUCGUCAGCUCGUGUCGUGAGAUGUUGGGUUAAGUCCCGCAACGAGCGCAACCCUUGCCUUUAGUUGCCAUCAUUAAGUUGGGGACUCUAAAGGGACUGCCGGUGACAAAUCGGAGGAAGGUGGGGAUGACGUCAAAUCAUCAUGCCCCUUAUGAUCUGGGCUACACACGUGCUACAAUGGGUGGUACAGAGGGAAGCGAAGCCGUGAGGCGGAGCGAAUCCCAGAAAGCCACUCUCAGUUCGGAUUGCAGGCUGCAACUCGCCUGCAUGAAGUCGGAAUCGCUAGUAAUCGCAGGUCAGCAUACUGCGGUGAAUACGUUCCCGGGCCUUGUACACACCGCCCGUCACACCACGAAAGUUCGCAACACCCGAAGCCGGUGGCCUAACCGCAAGGAGGGAGCCGUCGAAGGUGGGGCGGAUGAUUGGGGUGAAGUCGUAACAAGGUAACCA
RNAcentral lists this ribosomal RNA (996 nucleotides) under uncultured bacterium. RNAcentral describes it as "bacterial SSU rRNA". It matches the Rfam family "Bacterial small subunit ribosomal RNA", at positions 504 to 1502 of the family's 1533-position model. The record is from RNAcentral.